This 89-nucleotide small nucleolar RNA is filed under the name Buceros rhinoceros silvestris. RNAcentral's name for it is "Small nucleolar RNA SNORD70". It matches the Rfam family "Small nucleolar RNA SNORD70". From Rfam's summary of the family: snoRNA HBII-234 belongs to the C/D family of snoRNAs. It is the human orthologue of the mouse MBII-234 and is predicted to guide 2'O-ribose methylation of the small 18S rRNA on position A512. The record is from Rfam by way of RNAcentral. Lineage: Eukaryota; Metazoa; Chordata; Aves; Bucerotiformes; Bucerotidae.
UAGCCUGUGGUCCGUGAUGUAUCCUUGUUGAAGCUGAGUAUAGCUGAUCUGAGUCAACAUUUCGUCACUACCACUGAGACAACAGGCAG